Molecule: ribosomal RNA, 253 nt
Filed under: uncultured bacterium
Lineage: Bacteria
Description: partial 16S ribosomal RNA
Rfam family: Bacterial small subunit ribosomal RNA
Source: RNAcentral
UACGGAAGGGGCGAAUGUUGCUCGGAUUCACUGGGCGUAAAGCGACCGCAGGCGGUUUAUUAAGUCAGAUGUGAAAGCCCAGCGCUCAACGUUGGAAUUGCAUUUGAAACUGGUAGACUAGAGUCAUUGAGAGGGAGGUGGAAUUUCCAGUGUAGAGGUGAAAUUCGUAGAUAUUGGAAGGAACACCGGUGGCGAAGGCGACCUCCUGGCAAUGUACUGACGCUCAGGGUCGAAAGCGUGGGGAGCAAACAGG